Molecule: small nuclear RNA, 135 nt
Filed under: Chinchilla lanigera (long-tailed chinchilla)
Lineage: Eukaryota; Metazoa; Chordata; Mammalia; Rodentia; Chinchillidae
Description: U4 spliceosomal RNA (ENSCLAG00000020598.1)
Rfam family: U4 spliceosomal RNA
About the family: U4 small nuclear RNA (U4 snRNA) is a component of the major U2-dependent spliceosome. The structure of U4 snRNA from yeast and human has been reported.
Source: Rfam by way of RNAcentral
GGCUUUGAGCAGUGGCAGUAUCGUAGCCAAUGAGGUUUAUCCGAGGCGUGAUUACUGCUAAUUGAAAAUUUUCCCAUUUAAGAAUGGUCUUGAUGAAGCAGCAACAUGAUGGAUUUUAUUACCGAGUUUAUACUU